This 453-nucleotide ribosomal RNA is filed under the name Triticum aestivum (bread wheat). RNAcentral's name for it is "partial small subunit ribosomal RNA". Lineage: Eukaryota; Viridiplantae; Streptophyta; Magnoliopsida; Poales; Poaceae. The record is from RNAcentral.
UGGCGACCAAGAUCUACAUCGUUUAUUACUCCAUUUUUUUUUUGUUCAUCUGCAUACUAUUCGACAUGGGGACACGUCGCGACGCUUGCGGAGGAGAUUAAGAAGGGCGCCGACUCCGUCCCUGGCGUCGAGGUCACCAUCUGGCGGGUGCCCGAGACGCUGCCAGAGGAUGUGCUGGGGAAGAUGCACGCGGCGCCUGGCGGCGGCCAGGAGACCACGGCUCUCACGGCCGUGACACAGCUGACGCACCACGGCAUGCUGUUCGUGCCCGUCGGAUACACGCACGGCGCCGGCAUGUUCGGCAUGGACGAGGUCAAGGGUGGCAGCCCAUACGGAGCUGGCACCUUCGCUGGCGCCGAUGGCAGCAGGGUACCUAGCGACGCCGAACUCGCCUUGGCGGCGGACCAGGGGAAGUACUUUGCCGGCAUCGCCAAGAAGCUCAAGGCCGUCUGA